RNAcentral lists this ribosomal RNA (657 nucleotides) under uncultured Leptospirillum sp. Its description in RNAcentral is "bacterial SSU rRNA". It matches the Rfam family "Bacterial small subunit ribosomal RNA", at positions 57 to 692 of the family's 1533-position model. Lineage: Bacteria; Pseudomonadati; Nitrospirota; Nitrospiria; Nitrospirales; Nitrospiraceae. The record is from RNAcentral.
GCAAGUCCGACGUGAAAGGGGAGCAAUCCCCCGGUAGGGUGGCAAACGGGUGAGUAAGACAUGGGUGAUCUGCCCUGGAGAUGGGGAUAUCCCUCCGAAAGGGGGGGCAAUACCGAAUAGUAUCCGGUUCCGUGAAGGGGGCCGGGGAAAGGGAGGCCUCUGGUACAAGCUUCCGCUCCUGGAUGAGCCCAUGGCCCAUCAGCUAGUUGGUAGGGUAAAGGCCUACCAAGGCGACGACGGGUAGCUGGUCUGAGAGGACAACCAGCCACACUGGCACUGAGACACGGGCCAGACUCCUACGGGAGGCAGCAGUGAGGAAUAUUGCGCAAUGGGGGCAACCCUGACGCAGCAACGCCGCGUGUGGGAAGAAGGCUUUCGGGUUGUAAACCACUUUUGCCCGGGACGAAAGGGGGGACCUGAAUAAGGUUGCCCGAUGACGGUACCGGGAGAAUAAGCCACGGCUAACUCUGUGCCAGCAGCCGCGGUAAGACAGAGGUGGCAAGCGUUGUUCGGAGUUACUGGGCGUAAAGAGUCUGUAGGUGGUCUGUCAAGUCUUUGGUGAAAGGCCGUGGCUUAACCAUGGGAAUGCCAAAGAGACUGGCAGACUGGAGGCUGGGAGAGGGAAGCGGAAUUUCUGGUGUAGCGGUGAAAUGCGUA